GACGAACGCUGGCGGCGUGCUUAACACAUGCAAGUCGAACGGAAAGGCCCUGCUUUUGUGGGGUGCUCGAGUGGCGAACGGGUGAGUAACACGUGAGUAACCUGCCCUUGACUUUGGGAUAACUUCAGGAAACUGGGGCUAAUACCGGAUAGGAGCUCCUGCUGCAUGGUGGGGGUUGGAAAGUUUCGGCGGUUGGGGAUGGACUCGCGGCUUAUCAGCUUGUUUGUGGGGUAGUGGCUUACCAAGGCUUUGACGGGUAGCCGGCCUGAGAGGGUGACCGGCCACAUUGGGACUGAGAUACGGCGCAGACUCCUACGGGAGGCAGCAGUGGGGAAUAUUGCACAAUGGGCGGAAGCCUGAUGCAGCAACGCCGCGUGCGGGAUGACGGCCUUCGGGUUGUAAACCGCUUUCGCCUGUGACGAAGCGUGAGUGACGGUAAUGGGUAAAGAAGCACCGGCUAACUACGUG
Molecule: ribosomal RNA, 468 nt
Filed under: uncultured bacterium
Lineage: Bacteria
Description: partial 16S ribosomal RNA
Rfam family: Bacterial small subunit ribosomal RNA
Source: RNAcentral